RNAcentral lists this ribosomal RNA (585 nucleotides) under uncultured bacterium. RNAcentral's name for it is "partial 16S ribosomal RNA". It matches the Rfam family "Bacterial small subunit ribosomal RNA", at positions 355 to 1375 of the family's 1533-position model. The record is from RNAcentral.
UGGGGAAUUUUGGACAAUGGGCGAAAGCCUGAUCCAGCAAUGCCGCGUGUGUGAAGAAGGCCUUCGGGUUGUAAAGCACUUUUGUCCGGAAAGAAAUCCUUGGCUCUAAUACAGUCGGGGGAUGACGGUACCGGAAGAAUAAGCACCGGCUAACUACGUGCCAGCAGCCGCGGUAAUACGUAGGGUGCAAGCGUUAAUCGGAAUUACUGGGCGUAAAGCGUGCGCAGGCGGUUUGCUAAGACCGAUGUGAAAUCCCCGGGCUCAACCUGGGAACUGCAUUGGUGACUGGCAGGCUAGAGUAUGGCAGAGGGGGGUAGAAUUCCACAUGUAGCAGUGAAAUGCGUAGAGAUGUGGAGGAAUACCGAUGGCGAAGGCAGCCCCCUGGGCCAAUACUGACGCUCAUGCACGAAAGCGUGGGGAGCAAACAGGAUUAGAUACCCUGGUAGUCCACGCCCUAAACGAUGUCAACUAGUUGUUGGGGAUUCAUUUCCUUAGUAACGUAGCUAACGCGUGAAGUUGACCGCCUGGGGAGUACGGUCGCAAGAUUAAAACUUAAAGGAAUUGACGGGGUCAUAGCUGUUUCCU